Long non-coding RNA from Melanotaenia boesemani (Boeseman's rainbowfish), 211 nucleotides. RefSeq lists it as uncharacterized. The transcript is spliced from 3 exons. The record is from RefSeq and is a predicted model, not a curated record. NCBI's taxonomy places the organism in Eukaryota, Metazoa, Chordata, Actinopteri, Atheriniformes, Melanotaeniidae.
ACACAGAGCAACACAAGAGGAAGGUCAGAGCUUGGAACACUUGGCAGAAGCACAAGGGCUUCAAAUCAGCCAAAUGCUUGUUGUGUUACUUCAUCCCUUCCACCCCGAGACCAGAAGGGGUCCGUAACAAGCUAUUAGUGCCCAAAGACUUCUGGUUUCCCUUUAUGUGACAAGCGUGCUGUCCCCUACCCUUCGACCUCUAAGGGGUGAC